GUGAAUCAUCAAAUCUUUGAACGCAAAUUGCACUCUCUGGUAUUCCGGAGAGUAUGCCUGUUUGAGGGUCAGUUUAAAUAAAAAUCGGUGUGGUUGCUGCCUUUCGUGGUGACGUACCGGAUUUGGGUCGUCUUGCCUUCGGUUAAGUGACCUAAAAUUUUGCAUGAUUUUUUCGAACGUAUUUAAAUUGAUUUAAGUAAGUUUGCGGUUUCGUAUUA
This 218-nucleotide unclassified non-coding RNA is filed under the name Glomeraceae sp. Its description in RNAcentral is "partial contains 5.8S ribosomal RNA and internal transcribed spacer 2". The stretch from base 1 to 71 matches the Rfam family "5.8S ribosomal RNA", at positions 84 to 154 of the family's 154-position model. Lineage: Eukaryota; Fungi; Glomeromycota; Glomeromycetes; Glomerales; Glomeraceae. The record is from RNAcentral.